CAGAUCUUAGUUUAAUUAAAAACAUGAAAUUUGGAUUUUCAAAAUUAAAAUUCUGA
Molecule: transfer RNA, 56 nt
Filed under: Capillaria sp. cat-2018
Lineage: Eukaryota; Metazoa; Nematoda; Enoplea; Trichinellida; Capillariidae
Description: tRNA-Pro
Source: RNAcentral